UGGGGAAUACUGCGCAAUGGGGGCAACCCUGACGCAGCCAUGCCGCGUGUGUGAAGAAGGCUUUCGGGUUGUAAAGCACUUUCAGCAGUGAGAAAAAGCCAACGGUUAAUAGCUGUGGGUCUUGAUGUUAACUGUAGAAGAAGCACCGGCUAACUCCGUGCCAGCAGCCGCGGUAAUACGGAGGGUGCGAGCGUUAAUCGGAAUUACUGGGCGUAAAGCGCGCGUAGGCGGUCUGUUAAGUCGGAUGUGAAAGCCCCGGGCUUAACCUGGGAAUUCCAUUCGAUACUGGCAGACUGGAAUGCGGGAGAGGGAGGUAGAAGUCCAUGUGUAGCGGUGAAAUGCGUAGAUAUAUGGAGGAAUACCAGUGGCGAAGGCGGCCUCCUGGCCUGACAUUGACGCUGAGGUGCGAAAGCGUGGGGAGCAAACAGGAUUAGAUACCCGCGUAGUCC
RNAcentral lists this ribosomal RNA (449 nucleotides) under uncultured prokaryote. RNAcentral describes it as "bacterial SSU rRNA". It matches the Rfam family "Bacterial small subunit ribosomal RNA", at positions 355 to 796 of the family's 1533-position model. The record is from RNAcentral.